Homo sapiens (human) is the source of this 572-nucleotide long non-coding RNA. The record is from Ensembl. NCBI's taxonomy places the organism in Eukaryota, Metazoa, Chordata, Mammalia, Primates, Hominidae.
GCACAGACUUCGGAGAUACAGCGAAGGCGGAGCAGUGUUCACCUCAGCACAGACCCGGGCGGGCGGGCGGGCCGGUGGCACCGCGAGGGCGGAGCUGCGUUCUGCUCUGCACAGACCUUGGGGCACUGCCUCGCUUUGGGACAACUCGGGGCCGCAUCGACGGUGAAUAAAAUACUUCCUGUUUGCAGCCCUGUUUGUGGUUGGUGGCAGCGAUGGACACUGCAGCCAGCCAGAGCGUAGAAAGGCAUCGGGUGAAAGAAGAUGGCCACAGAGACAGACAGCAGCGUGGUCAGAGUGGUAGGAGCCGGCCAUCAGCGAGAGCUGCUCCAUGCCUGGCUGCUGGGUGCUAGAGUCUGCGGCCCACUGGCUUGCCUCACUGUGGUUGGUGGUGGCGGUGACAGAGACUGCAGCAUGACCAGAGUGGCUUUUCUGGCUUUGCCCGCCCAGCUGCUCCAUGCCAGGAGGAGGAGGAGACACCUAGAGCCUGCAACACCACGGCUCGCCUCGCUACAGUCAGUUCUAGAGUGUAUGAAGAACCAAAUGAUGUAAUUGUAUGCGACCUGGCUGUAGUG